This is a long non-coding RNA of Pelmatolapia mariae (spotted tilapia), 1588 nucleotides long. RefSeq lists it as uncharacterized. The transcript has 3 exons. The record is from RefSeq and is a predicted model, not a curated record. NCBI's taxonomy places the organism in Eukaryota, Metazoa, Chordata, Actinopteri, Cichliformes, Cichlidae.
CUGAAGGUUGCACUAGUUUGGUUUUGAAUUUUGAGUGCGGAGGAGACAUUGCCCCUAAAACUAUCCGACUGAUUCGGAGAGGAGAGUGCCUCUGUUCCACUAAAUUAAGACUAAAAGGUCAACCUUCUGUGUACGCACAGAACAUGGAUGACAUCAUCCGCACAGUCUUUACGGCUGUGCUAUGGACCCUCGCCUCAUCCCACGAAGACCACAAAAACUUUACAAUUAAAUCUGGACAGAACAUCACUCUCCCAUGUCGAGCUUCAAACACGUCCUUCAUAGCUGUAGAGUGGAGCAGAUUUGACUUAAAGCCAGAAUAUGUACUUUUAAGCCGUGACGGGCACUUUGACCCACACAGCCAGCAUUUAUCUUUUAUGAAUCGAGUUGAUCUGCAGGAAAGAAAGAUGAAGGAUGGAGACGUGUCUUUGAUUCUGAAGAACAUGAAGAUUGAUGACACUGGAACAUACGAGUGUCGUGUCUUCAUGGAAGAAACACGCUCAUGGAAAUCCAUCAGCAUCAUCUACCUGAGUGUUGUUGAUCCUCCAGGUCCGCCAGUAGAGAAUCGACCUGUGGGACUGAUCAUUGGAGUCAUCGUUGGUCUGUCAGCUGUGGUGAUUUUUGUGGCCUGUCUCAUCUAUAAAAAUCCUGAAAAAAGACAAAACAUAUUUCUUGUUCCAUCUUGUCACGAACGGAUACGACAUUUCUGUAGACGAGCAGAGGCUCAUGUAACAUCGGCAGUAAUAUAAUUUCCCUUCCCUUUCCCCUUUCAUCCCCCUUCUUGAAUUGCCACCUUAUCGUGGUGGAGGGGUUUGUGAGCUCAGACAAUCCUGGGAGCUGAGGUGUUUGGAGCGUUCAGCUCCUGGUAGGGUCUCCCAUGACAAACAGGUCCCAGGUGAUGAGCCAGACUAAGAGCAAUUCAAAAAAACAUUGUCCUGUUUGUACCAAUCAUGUGGACAACAGCUAAAUCUGAUUUAGUGACCUAAUGUUACCUAAGACAUGAUUGCGGGUUAUAAAAACCUGUGAUAAUGAAAGGACAAUAUGUAACUGUUAAAAGUAAUAAAAUCAUUUAAACUUGAAACACCAGACCACACAACUCUGUACGAACACACCAACAUUUUGGCUGGUUUGGACCAGGUAAAGACAACAUUCUGUUGUAUCCUGUAAAUUCAGCAGGAUACAACAGAAUAUCCAGAAGGUAUACUGAAAGUAUACCAGCUUUCUAUUGACUGGGACACUUCAGGCUAAAUUAUGUGUUCACUGCAUCUAAAAAAACAAUGAUGCUAUGAUGUUGUUGUGUUUAUUAUCAGGUGAUUUGUAUGUUCAUGUCAGUAAGAAAUGGAAUCAAAAUUCUUAGAUUAGCAGUUUUAUUGUUGCUGUGCACUGAAAGCAGCAGUUUGGGAAUCAGAUUGUUGUUUAAAAUUUACUUGGUGAAAUGUGUUUGUUUGUUGUUGUUUGUUUUUUUUGUUUGUUUGUUUUUUUUCUCUCCUCUUCAGUACUUUGUGUGAUCCUGAUACUGACUGUGAUCAGUGUGACUGCAGCCAUGGUUGGUUUUCUGUGCUGCAGAACUGUUAAUAAAAGCUGUUUAUUG